ACCAGACAAAACACCCGGGCACUAAUGGCGAAGUCUACAGAAAACUCAUCCCCUCAAUUAAUUGCGACUGGGUCUAUACACUACAGGUAAGACAAGUGUUUAUCACGGUGACUACAAAGUAGUCCAUUCAAGGUUCGUGUCGACCCGAUACCUGUCUUUGCUCCGCAUACUACCCACCAAAUCCACUUCCUUCCCAAUUUUCUUCACUCACCACAACCAUUGAAACCCUAGACAUGACAUAACUCAAGCUUCCCGAGGUUUCUCUCUCUGCGCAAGCUUCGAUAUUUGCAAUGUGUCACUACCACCUAUCGGAGGAUGAUUUACCUCAAAAUGAACAUUAUGCACGGAGGAAUGGAAAUGGAAUAGAGCAUGUGGAACUAAGGUGGGAAACCCAGAUAGCAUUGUUGGAGGAGCGAAUAUCAAGGAUUGAGGCUCGAGUUGAAAGGCUAGAAACGACAAUGUUAUAUUUGCAGAAAUGGAUGCGAGUACUAUCUUGUUUGCUUUUGCUUACUCUUGUCUAUGCUAUAUGUAAAUGAAUUCCCAUUGAAAAUUUGUUUUAGGUGCAGUGUUUGUAUUGCUUGUAAUGUACUAGAUGUUAGGUAGGUAUGUGACAGCAUUUGUGGAUUGCUGUACUUCAAAAUAAAUUUCAGGGAGUCAACAAAGUUAGCAAUAGGAAAAAGAAAAUUGUUGAUAGAUCUUUACUCUGUUACAGAGGUGAAGUCUCAUGUUUUAUUGAAUUAAUGGGAGAGAAACAACUAAUCAUAAUGCUAGAAUUUAUCGUGUUUUUCCUGUA
Molecule: long non-coding RNA, 793 nt
Organism: Carica papaya (papaya)
Lineage: Eukaryota; Viridiplantae; Streptophyta; Magnoliopsida; Brassicales; Caricaceae
Source: RefSeq, a predicted model, not a curated record